UCCCUGGUAGCUCAGCAGUUAAAGAAUCUGCCUGCCAAGCAGGAGACUCAGGUUCAAUCCCUGGCUCAGGAA
Bos taurus (domestic cattle) is the source of this 72-nucleotide non-coding RNA. The record is from Rfam. NCBI's taxonomy places the organism in Eukaryota, Metazoa, Chordata, Mammalia, Artiodactyla, Bovidae.